Molecule: ribosomal RNA, 554 nt
Filed under: uncultured bacterium
Lineage: Bacteria
Description: partial 16S ribosomal RNA
Rfam family: Bacterial small subunit ribosomal RNA
Source: RNAcentral
UAGGGAAUCUUCGGCAAUGGGGGCAACCCUGACCGAGCAACGCCGCGUGAGUGAAGAAGGUUUUCGGAUCGUAAAGCUCUGUUGUAAGUCAAGAACGGGUGUGAGAGUGGAAAGUUCACACUGUGACGGUAGCUUACCAGAAAGGGACGGCUAACUACGUGCCAGCAGCCGCGGUAAUACGUAGGUCCCGAGCGUUGUCCGGAUUUAUUGGGCGUAAAGCGAGCGCAGGCGGUUUGAUAAGUCUGAAGUUAAAGGCUGUGGCUCAACCAUAGUUCGCUUUGGAAACUGUCAAACUUGAGUGCAGAAGGGGAGAGUGGAAUUCCAUGUGUAGCGGUGAAAUGCGUAGAUAUAUGGAGGAACACCGGUGGCGAAAGCGGCUCUCUGGUCUGUAACUGGCGCUGAGGCUCGAAAGCGUGGGGAGCGAACAGGAUUAGAUACCCUGGUAGUCCACGCCGUAAACGAUGAGUGCUAGGUGUUGGAUCCUUUCCGGGAUUCAGUGCCGCAGCUAACGCAUUAAGCACUCCGCCUGGGGAGUACGACCGCAAGGUUGAAAC